ACGGAGGGUGCGAGCGUUGUCCGGAAUCACUGGGCGUAAAGGGCGCGUAGGUGGCGCGAGAAGUCAACGGUGAAAGCUCGUCGCUUAACGACGAGUCGGCCGUCGAUACUCUUGUGCUCGAGCACUGUAGAGGCAGAUGGAAUUCCGGGUGUAGUGGUGGAAUGCGUAGAGAUCCGGAGGAACACCAGCGGCGAAGGCGGCAUCCUGGACUGGUACUGACGCUCAUGAGCGAAAGCGUGGGGAGCGAUCCGGA
RNAcentral lists this ribosomal RNA (253 nucleotides) under uncultured prokaryote. RNAcentral describes it as "partial 16S ribosomal RNA". It matches the Rfam family "Bacterial small subunit ribosomal RNA", at positions 525 to 777 of the family's 1533-position model. The record is from RNAcentral.